UACAGAGGUCUCAAGCGUUGUUCGGAUUCAUUGGGCGUAAAGGGUGCGUAGGUGGCUGUGUAAGUCUGGUGUGAAAUCUCGGGGCUCAACCCCGAAACUGCAUCGGAUACUGCAUGGCUCGAGGACUGUAGAGGAGAGAGGAAUUCACGGUGUAGCAGUGAAAUGCGUAGAGAUCGUGAGGAAGACCAGUUGCGAAGGCGUCUCUCUGGGCAGUUCCUGACACUGAGGCACGAAGGCCAGGGGGGCAAACGGG
Molecule: ribosomal RNA, 253 nt
Filed under: uncultured bacterium
Lineage: Bacteria
Description: partial 16S ribosomal RNA
Rfam family: Bacterial small subunit ribosomal RNA
Source: RNAcentral